UACAGUAAGGUCAAUGCACGUGGGCAACUCAGCUCACCAGCUCGCAUGUACCCAGCACAAUGGAUGCGGUAGCCCUGGCCCUGAGUCACUUCUUUCAAAUGAAUUGAGCUGUUUUCUGCAUGCAAGAGCAUCUGCUGAGCUCCUGAGCACCUCCUUACAGACAGCACUGGGAAGCACCAGCUGCAAGAAAGGCCCAAAGCUGAAUCAAAAUCCAGAGCAUCUCUGUGCAUAACUACAGUGAAGCAGCUUCAUGUGCCUACAGAAGAGUGAAAGUCCACAGCACUUGAACAAUGGAGUUGGACUCGAUGGUCCUUAUGGGUCCCUUCCAACUUGGGUUUUCUAUGAUUCUCUGUCAAUGUUAUUAAGCUUAGUGAAAGAACAGGCUGAAAAUGGGGCUGUAGCACCAAAAAGAAUGAACAUUUCCCUAUACAGAAAGAGAGGAAGCAUGGAAAUAGCUGCUCCCUGCUCCUGUGAAAGCAGGUUACAGCAAGAAAAGGCAUUUUAAAUGGCACCAGAGUUUUUGAGUACUGUCGAAUAUUUACAAAGGCAAAAGCAAAGCACAAAAAGACCACUCAGUGUGCUCGAGGUAACAAAGCAAUCGUGAGAUGCAGCAGGUAACCGAGCUGGGUCUGUGGAGCCCGAGCAUCUGCUGUAACUCCUGGAUCAUCUUUCUUCUGUAUUGCAUUUGCUCAGCGUGGUGAUAAAAAUAUGUCUUCCUCCAGAGGCAGAUUGACCGCGUAAUGCUGAGCGCAGAUGAUGAGGUUUUGCGUUUGUUUAUGAUGAUACACACAAACAAAAUACCUGUCUUGCAAAAUAGUUUGGCUGCCGUCCACGGCAAAAUAACCAUUAGGCAGAAAGCGAGCCUAAAGAGCUCCUUCCCUUCAGCCACCAGAACAAAGUAAUUAAAAGCCACAUGGCAUCCGCCUGUCCACUUGGCAGCGGUGCUGUGGGUAGGGCUAUGGGCACAGCAGAGCUGAUCAGCAAAAGGUGGCAACUUGGAAACAUCCCAUCAAACCUACAUGUGUUCCCCUCCACCCCCCCACGCCUCCUUCUACAUGCAGUUAUCCCAGAGGGGAUCUUCAGCAGAACGCAGUUGUGUUGGGAGGCACCGUUUCAAAGAGAGGACGCACGACAUAAAAGCAAUAUUUGCUGCUCCACUUCAGAGAGCUCCUGUUUGAGUUCAGGAGGGAUAAGAGGGAAAGUCGGGGCCACUGCUGGGGAGCAGGCGAGGUGAGCGUGGGUGGCAGUGGGGUGGGCUCAGGACGGGGGUGAGAGCAACCAGCAGCAGUGC
Non-coding RNA from Coturnix japonica (Japanese quail), 1291 nucleotides. The record is from RefSeq and is a predicted model, not a curated record. Lineage: Eukaryota; Metazoa; Chordata; Aves; Galliformes; Phasianidae.